UAGCCGCAUGAUGAACUUAAUAUUUUAGCUAUGGAUUUAUGUCCAGAUGGAGCUAUAUAAUUUUUGUCAUAGUUACUCUGAUAGGGC
RNAcentral lists this small RNA (87 nucleotides) under Triticum aestivum (bread wheat). Lineage: Eukaryota; Viridiplantae; Streptophyta; Magnoliopsida; Poales; Poaceae. The record is from RNAcentral.